AGGACGAACGCUGGCGGCGUGCUUAACACAUGCAAGUCGAGCGACGCUCCUCCUUCGGGAGGAUGACGGAGCGGCGAACGGGUGAGUAACACGUGGGCAACCUGCCCCUAGCUCUGGGAUAAGCCCGGGAAACCGGGUCUAAUACCGGAUACGAGACCGAGAGGCAUCUCUUGGUCUGGAAAGUUUUUCGGCUAGGGAUGGGCCCGCGGCCUAUCAGCUUGUUGGUGGGGUAAUGGCCUACCAAGGCGACGACGGGUA
RNAcentral lists this ribosomal RNA (258 nucleotides) under uncultured bacterium. RNAcentral describes it as "partial small subunit ribosomal RNA". It matches the Rfam family "Bacterial small subunit ribosomal RNA", at positions 26 to 285 of the family's 1533-position model. The record is from RNAcentral.